GAUGAACGCUGGCGGCGUGCUUAACACAUGCAAGUCGAACGGAAAGGCCCAAGCUUGCUUGGGUACUCGAGUGGCGAACGGGUGAGUAACACGUGGGUGAUCUGCCCUGCACUUCGGGAUAAGCCUGGGAAACUGGGUCUAAUACCGGAUAGGACCACUUCUUGGAUGUUGUGGUGGAAAGUUUUUUCGGUGUGGGAUGAGCUCGCGGCCUAUCAGCUUGUUGGUGGGGUAAUGGCCUACCAAGGCGUCGACGGGUAGCCGGCCUGAGAGGGUGUACGGCCACAUUGGGACUGAGAUACGGCCCAGACUCCUACGGGAGCAGCAGUGGGGAAUAUUGCACAAUGGGCGCAAGCCUGAUGCAGCGACGCCGCGUGGGGGAUGACGGCCUUCGGGUUGUAAACUCCUUUCGCUAGGGACGAAGCGUUUUGUGACGGUACCUGGAGAAGAAGCACCGGCUAACUACGUG
RNAcentral lists this ribosomal RNA (466 nucleotides) under uncultured bacterium. RNAcentral describes it as "partial 16S ribosomal RNA". It matches the Rfam family "Bacterial small subunit ribosomal RNA", at positions 28 to 507 of the family's 1533-position model. The record is from RNAcentral.